UUCCUAGGUCAUAUGGGAUGCCGUCUUGGACUUUUAACUGCAAUGAAUAAAGCAGAUUCAGUCAGGUCUAUGGUAAUGAAGGCUAACAAUGGGCCUUUACAUCUGCUGACUCUUCAAAUGAAAAACGUUCUACCUCCUGCCCAGAACAGUAGAAGGAAGGCACCAUUCUUCAUUUUGAUUGGGUGGACCUGAUCUAAUUUCCUUGAACAGCAGAGACCUUAUUUCAAGUGACCUAAGUCCUUAUGUAUCUCUUUUAGAAAAUCCAGUAGUUUUAUUUGUAUUCCUAAGGUCAAAGCAGUUUGGAGAAUAUUUACAGUUGAUGGAUGAUUUAUACUUUUUUCUAUGACAAAAAUAUUAGCCUUUAAAAAUCUGAGUGAAACAGAUAUGUAGAUGGAAAUGACUCAUUACUAUCAAUAGAAGCAAAGAGUAUUAGGCCACCAUGCAUAACUGUAGUCAUCCAAAUAAGGCAAACGAACAAUGCCAGAAGAAAGACCUACAAGCCUAAUGAGGAACUGUCUGAAAAGGAGAUGCACACAGCAAAUCCAACGGUGUCUACUGCCUCCAGGCUGCAGGGGGAGCUCUUCCAUCCCUAAAGUUUCCCCAUUUGCAAAAACUGUGGCCCUUCAUCUGUCCUGAUUAAAUAACAAACCUUUUUGAGAGACAUCUCUCCUUUAUUUCUACAUUUUCUGCAUAAAUCCCAAUCAAACAGUUCAGCUCUAAUGAAUACCCUCUAUUGUGUUCAGACACUCCUCUUUUUCUGACAAUCUUUGGCUGCUUUUGAGUCUUAUGUAAAAUAGAGGUCAACAGAGCACUCUUUGUUGCAUGCAGAUUUUGCUGGUCAUUGUUUAUGUUGAUAUUCAAAGACCAAAGUGUAAAUGUUUUUUUAAGAAAUUAAACUGUAAGAGUAAAUAAUUUUCUUGA
Long non-coding RNA from Rattus norvegicus (Norway rat), 921 nucleotides. RefSeq lists it as uncharacterized. Lineage: Eukaryota; Metazoa; Chordata; Mammalia; Rodentia; Muridae. The record is from RefSeq and is a predicted model, not a curated record.